RNAcentral lists this long non-coding RNA (812 nucleotides) under Rattus norvegicus (Norway rat). Its description in RNAcentral is "long non-coding RNA NONRATT021118". The record is from RNAcentral. Lineage: Eukaryota; Metazoa; Chordata; Mammalia; Rodentia; Muridae.
AGUUUAGAGUCUUGUUCGUGCAAGGAAGGGCUCCGCCGUCAUCCUCAGCCCAGACAGAUAUUCCUUCAUAAUAAAUCCUCAGAGACUGAAGCUUUUACACUAACUAAGCUUGACGGGAAGAUUUCUACACUUAUAAAAUGUUAUUCUCAUUUUUUUUUCUUCUGAUACAGCAUUUAUUUAGUACUUUCAGCCCUGUCAUAUCUCAGUCUAAAAAUGUUGGACUAUGGUCUGGGGAGGUGGUUUCCUAGUGAGAGAGGAAUGAAGCUACCCCUGGAACAUCCUCUCUUACCUCCAUCAUCGAUCCUCCCCUCCCCAGAGUGAGCCCUCCCUGCCUUCACUUCCUAAUUGCAGAAAAUUAAAGGGAAUGAAACAUUCCACUCAAGGGUGGAGGGGGUGGGGAGCAGAGGGAUGGCUCAGCAGUAAAGUGCUUGCUGUGCAAGUGUGAGGUGCUGAGUUUGAAUCCCCAGAACCCAUGUAAAGCUGCCUAGCCUGGGCUACACAGUGCAGCAGCAAACAGUAGAAACAAAAUGGGAGGUGGAAACUGACCCCUAAGAUUGUUCUGUGAGCCACAAGUAUGCCAUGGCGCGCUCGCACAUACACACACACACACACACACACACACACACGAAAGGGUAGUGGUACUCUAAAUGAAAUGGUAUUAAUACUUCAAAGUCACACCAUGUCAUUAAAGCAUUAAAAAGCUUUCACUUAUUCUUUGAAUUGAUCCAGUUAUUAAAUGUCUACCCUCACUCAAACUUCAUGUGCAGUAAAUACAGACCCAAGAUUUUCAGGGCUGAAAAAGUGCGGAGAAG